Molecule: long non-coding RNA, 342 nt
Organism: Lutra lutra (Eurasian river otter)
Lineage: Eukaryota; Metazoa; Chordata; Mammalia; Carnivora; Mustelidae
Exons: 3
Source: RefSeq, a predicted model, not a curated record
UAUAAGGAGAUAAAAGAACUUCAGCAUUAUAAAUGGAGUUCUUUUGGAAGCAAUGAAUCAAUCAAGAUGGUUGUUCUGUCUCUGAAAGUCAAGGUCUCUUCAGAUCUAGUGAAGAAGUCUUCUUGAUUUUCCUGAAGCUUCUCCCCAGCUGUCUUCUUCCUUGGUAACAUGCUGCUCUGGAUAUUUGUACAGUCACAGUACUGAAUGAGUCUGGUGUAAGAAGGUCCUCCUGGAGCAGAGGUAGAAGAGAAAGAUGGUCUCUGCUGUCAAGGAGCGUAAUCCUUUCACCAGAGAUGUUGGACGCAAAUACCCACAAAGAUAAAUCAAAAUGUAUGGCCCUGG